GACGAACGCUGGCGGCGUGCUUAACACAUGCAAGUCGAACGGAAAGGCCCUGCUUUUGUGGGGUGCUCGAGUGGCGAACGGGUGAGUAACACGUGAGUAACCUGCGCUUGACUUUGGGAUAACUUCAGGAAACUGGGGCUAAUACCGGAUAGGAGCUCCUGCUGCAUGGUGGGGGUUGGAAAGUUUCGGCGGUUGGGGAUGGACUCGCGGCUUAUCAGCUUGUUGGUGGGGUAGUGGCUUACCAAGGCUUUGACGGGUAGCCGGCCUGAGAGGGUGACCAGCCACAUUGGGACUGCGAUACGGACCAGACUCCUACGGGAGGCAGCAGUGGGGAAUAUUGCACAAUGGGCGGAAGCCUGAUGCAGCAACGCCGCGUGCGGGAUGACGGCCUUCGGGUUGUAAACCGCUUUCGCCUGUGACGAAGCGUGAGUGACGGUAAUGGGUAAAGAAGCACCGGCUAACUACGUG
Molecule: ribosomal RNA, 468 nt
Filed under: uncultured bacterium
Lineage: Bacteria
Description: partial 16S ribosomal RNA
Rfam family: Bacterial small subunit ribosomal RNA
Source: RNAcentral